UAUUGCAUAAUGGGGGAAACCCUGAUGCAGCGACGCCGCGUGAGCGAUGAAGUAUAUCGGUANGUAAAGCUCUAUCAGCAGGGAANNCCNNNANGGUACCUGACUAAGAAGCCCCGUCUAACUACGUGACAGCAGCCGCGGUAAUACGUAGGGGGCAAGCGUUAUCCGGAUUUACUGGGUGUAAAGGGAGCGUAGACGGCUGUGCAAGCCAGAUGUGAAAGCCCGGGGCUCAACCCCGGGACUGCAUUUGGAACUGCGUGGCUUGAGUGUCGGAGAGGCAGGCGGAAUUCCUAGUGUAGCGGUGAAAUGCGUAGAUAUUAGGAGGAACACCAGUGGCGAAGGCGGCCUGCUGGACGAUGACUGACGUUGAGGCUCGAAAGCGUGGGGAGCAA
RNAcentral lists this ribosomal RNA (392 nucleotides) under uncultured bacterium. Its description in RNAcentral is "bacterial SSU rRNA". It matches the Rfam family "Bacterial small subunit ribosomal RNA", at positions 362 to 771 of the family's 1533-position model. The record is from RNAcentral.